RNAcentral lists this long non-coding RNA (495 nucleotides) under Capsella rubella. RNAcentral's name for it is "long non-coding RNA (CRUB_LNC004291)". The record is from RNAcentral. Lineage: Eukaryota; Viridiplantae; Streptophyta; Magnoliopsida; Brassicales; Brassicaceae.
AAUCAUAUGAAAUCUAAGAAUCAUGAAUCAAACAUGUUUUCUCAAACUCGAUUGGUUGCCAACACAAUGUCUUCGUAUUUAUUUUCACAUUCGUCGUUUUCCUACUCUUCAGUAUUCACAUUCUUUCUCGUAAUCUUGAUUAUGGAUAUCAUGACGUUAUCAUCAUUACUUUCAUCGUCUACUUCUUCGCUAUAUUCUGAUUUUUGAUCUUCCUAAUCAUCUUCCCCACUUUCCUCAUACUCUCCAUUUUCUGUUUCGUAAAACAUCUAUUAUUAUGUAGUUAAACAAAGUAAAAAAAUUUAAUACUUACUAACCUUAACCAAACAUAUAUCUCCAUAAGCAUAUAAAUUAAUUACCCAAAUUUUGUUUUUAGUUUGACCUUCAUGACCUUGCAUUUGACCUUCAUUUAACUUUCUAAACUUGAACAAUUUUAGUUUGAUGUGCAUUCACUUGUAGUUUAACGUGAACAAUUUUCAUUAUAUUAGCCAAGAGAAC